This 476-nucleotide long non-coding RNA is filed under the name Salvia miltiorrhiza (redroot sage). RNAcentral describes it as "long non-coding RNA (SMIL_LNC008970)". The record is from RNAcentral. Lineage: Eukaryota; Viridiplantae; Streptophyta; Magnoliopsida; Lamiales; Lamiaceae.
CCCUCUGUGGAUGCUUUCCAAGACCAGCCGUCUUCUUCACCUGCAAGCAAAACAACAGAGGAGAAAGAAGACUUCAUGACAUUAACAGCCCCCAACUCCCUAUCUCGUAACUCACGUCUCCAUUGUAGCUCCCAAACCCACUCCCCAUCCACCCGCUUUCCCCCCUCUUCAACUGUAGCAUCUUUAUUUGCACUUAGGUGGAAAAGGCGAGGGAAGACGAGUUUUAAAGGUUUCUCCCCAGCCCAACAAUGAAACCAAAAUUUUGUGUCCGCCCCCAUUUCCUAACUUCCUCCUAAUAUUUUGCAUGAACCAUCCCGAUUGUUUCCCACCCAAGGCCACAAUCUUCGCCCACCAGCCAGAUUUCUUCCAACUUCUAAAAGGCAAAGUAACUCCCUCCUCCCCCCAUUCAAGCUCACCAUACAACGAUCUCACCACUCUAACCCAAAGCGUCCCUCUCGAACUCAAGUACCUCCAUA